GUCCACGCCGUAAACGAUGGAGACUAGGUGUAGGCGGAUAGAACCCCGUCUGUGCCGAAGCCAACGCGUUAAGUCUCCCGCCUGGGGAGUACGGCCGCAAGGUUAAAACUCAAAGGAAUUGACGGGGCCCGCACAAGCAGCGGAGCGUGUGGUUUAAUUCGAUGAUACGCGAAGAACCUUACCUGGGUUUGACAUCCCGGUAGUAGCCGACCGAAAGGAAGGUGACCCUUCGGGGAGCCGGGACAGGUGCUGCAUGGCUGUCGU
Molecule: ribosomal RNA, 264 nt
Filed under: uncultured bacterium
Lineage: Bacteria
Description: partial 16S ribosomal RNA
Rfam family: Bacterial small subunit ribosomal RNA
Source: RNAcentral